AAGACCUUACAAAACGCUGCUAAAAGUCAAUUUUGCUGCAGUGUUUAAAAUAUUUCUAGAAAGCAUUUGAUACACAGAAAAUCAUGAAGAUCUCACCUUAAACAUGAAAGAUGAACUGAAACAUCAGCUUUCAAUGUAGUUUAUAAAUAAUCAAAAGCUUUAAAACAGUAAAAAAAAGAGUCACCUCAGGAGAAAGUGAAACAAAAAAGAAAGGC
This 215-nucleotide long non-coding RNA is filed under the name Gossypium barbadense (sea-island cotton). RNAcentral's name for it is "long non-coding RNA (GBAR_LNC000198)". The record is from RNAcentral. Lineage: Eukaryota; Viridiplantae; Streptophyta; Magnoliopsida; Malvales; Malvaceae.